This 225-nucleotide unclassified non-coding RNA is filed under the name uncultured Gemmatimonadota bacterium. RNAcentral describes it as "uncultured Gemmatimonadetes bacterium contains 16S-23S intergenic spacer region". Lineage: Bacteria; Pseudomonadati; Gemmatimonadota. The record is from RNAcentral.
UCCGGCUUGACGCCGGCAGUCCCCCGAGAGUCCUCAGCUUUACCUGUUAGUAACACGGGGCAAGGGUUGCGCUCGUUGCGGGACUUAACCCAACAUCUCACGACACGAGCUGACGACAGCCAUGCAGCACCUGUGCUGGUGUUCCGAAGAAGGGCCCCUGUUUCCAGAGGCUUUCACCAGCAUGUCAAACCUAGGUAAGGUGGGGAUGACGUCUGCGUAACAGAA